CUGAUUUCAAAGAUUGGGGGGCUAUGUGACUCAACCACCUCCUUCUCACACAAAAUACAACAACUAAAAAGAACAAAUUGCAUUCAAUAUGAAAAUUGGAUAAGUUUGUGAUUAAAAUCACACCUGUAACAGUUGCGUUAUUAUGCUUUAAAAUGAAAGAUUUGGAAUACAAUAAGAUAGUGGCAUUGAAAAGAUUUUCUACGGUUUUAGUAUUUUUCGCCCACCAUCAAUGCCACAACACUCGAUGACAUCAGGACAACAGCUGGGAGGGGGUACAAAAGCUGUGGUGAAUGUCAUGAUGGCCAUGACUACCAUGAUCACUAACACCAACUGCGCUACAGAUUUCAUUUUUCCUUUCUUCUCUAUAAUAAGAUCCUUUAUAACAAAGUAAUGAUGUAUUUCUCUUUU
Molecule: long non-coding RNA, 408 nt
Filed under: Daucus carota (carrot)
Lineage: Eukaryota; Viridiplantae; Streptophyta; Magnoliopsida; Apiales; Apiaceae
Description: long non-coding RNA (DCAR_LNC002398)
Source: RNAcentral